This 1287-nucleotide small RNA is filed under the name Pongo abelii (Sumatran orangutan). RNAcentral's name for it is "retained intron". Lineage: Eukaryota; Metazoa; Chordata; Mammalia; Primates; Hominidae. The record is from RNAcentral.
UUAAUUUAAAACUGGAUUGAUGAUCAUUAUGGUAUGAUAUGAUAUUAAAUGUGUGCAUUGUUUUGAUGCUAUAUUUAGUAGACAGGUGGUAGACCCUGUCCUUAAGGAGCUGUUGUCCUGAAAAUAAGUAGGGCACAUAUAAAUGUCCAAAGAGACCUAAACCAUUUUUGCUGUUUCCUGAGGAUACAUGUCUUUUGCCCAUAACUCUUCUUUACUUUUGUCCUGUUUGUCUUAAAGGUUGGAAAUAAAGUAGACAUUGCCAGGGAAGCCCUGGCACCCUUAUACCUUUUCUUUUUCAGCUUUUUCUCUCAAGUUUCUUUCUUAGGAAGGAGUUGGAUGAGUCAUCCUGGGAUGAGGGUAAAGAAGGUUAUCAUUGUUAUAGUGACUUUAAGUAAUGGUGGGCUUCCCUUCAAGGGAGUGUAUAGUUUUCUGUGGCUCUACAGCAAGACAUGUUUACUGAGUAAUAGGCAACCUGGAUAGAUUGCAAUCCACUACUUAAAAGUAUACCACCUGUCUUUCUCCCAGCUCUCUGUAAAAAUAACAGCCAAACAAAUCAACUUUGCAUAGAUUUGGCACUGUGAUUUGACAGCUCUCCACUUUUAGUUCUAAGAUGGAUAGAUUGGUAGAAUCAGAUUGCUUCCCAAAGAAGUAUAGUUUCUUUCCUUCAAGUCUUUUAACAUUUUAAAUAUAUUAUUAGGCACAUGUUUGGGAGAUUAGUGAAUCAACUUUUUCUUUCUGAUUAAUAGACAUAUCCAGUUCAAUCACAUGGUGGAAACUAUAUGGGUCAGAGCAUUCACCAAGUAACUGUUGCCCAAAGCUAUAGCCUAGGACCCGAUCAGAUUGGUCCACUGAGAUCUCUGCCUUCAAAUGUGAAUUCCUCAGUGACAACACAGCCUGCUCAAACUUCAUAUUUAAGCACUGGACAAGACACUGUUUCCAAUCCUACUUAUAUGAACCAGAACUCUAACCUACAGUCAGCUACUGGUACAACUGCUUACACACAGCAAAUGGGGAUGUCUGUGGAUAUGUCGUCUUAUCAGAACACUACUUCCAAUUUGCCUCAGCUGGCAGGCUUUCCGGUGACAGUUCCAGCUCAUCCAGUUGCACAGCAGCACACAAAUUACCAUCAGCAGCCUCUCCUUUAGAAACAAAGCAAGCAUUUUCUUGAAAGCCUUCAUAAGUGUAUUAUUCAGUCCUUGUGAUACCAACCUGAAAAUAUUAAAACUUUUUUCCCUCUCAACUCAAAAGGACCAUGAAUAAAUAAAGCACAAAAACCUCUCUUAUUCU